RNAcentral lists this long non-coding RNA (974 nucleotides) under Zostera marina. Its description in RNAcentral is "long non-coding RNA (ZMAR_LNC005228)". Lineage: Eukaryota; Viridiplantae; Streptophyta; Magnoliopsida; Alismatales; Zosteraceae. The record is from RNAcentral.
GCUAACUGACCAAACGGCGACGUCAUUAAUUAUAAAAGUUGGAGGCUGCAAGGACUUCGGGGAAGAUGUUUUGCUUACCUCAAGGUACUACCUCUUCACUCCUCUCCCAGUUUCGUUCCUUCGUCUUCUCUAAUUUCUCUGGUGGAAUCCUGAUUCUAUCAACCGGUGGAUUCCGGCUCGGCGACGUGAUCUGUUCGGCGUCUCUCUAUCGCAACUCUGUCAAGUUGCCCGUGUGUAAAUUUGCCAUUAUAUAUUUUAUGUUAAAUGAGUCUUGGGCCAUUAUGAUCGAUCCAUUACAAUUAAAUAGGUUUAAUUCUAUGUUAAAUGAGUCUUGGGCCUUGUAAUGAUGAUUAGGAGUUGCAAACAGAAAUCGGCAACACUAAUCAUCAUUAUAAAUAUCUUGUAAUGUUUGUAUUUUGUUGUGAGGGAGAAAGAAGAAUAGCGGAGGCACCCCGUGGACGUAGGCACAUUGUUGAACCACGUAAAUCUGUGUUUUCUUUUUCUCAGUUCGAUUUUAGGGUUCUUCUUAUCACACGUCCAUUCAUUUGGGCAAGUUGAAUUCCAGAGAGAAGUCCCAGUGAAACAGAGCCAGAGAAACUAAAGAGUUCGAGUUGAUUUUCGCGUGCAGCUUUCAACUUGACGCUUGUUUGAAGCGUCUUCGAGCAUUGAUCGGAUUCCACCCUCAUCAGUUAUGAUGGGAUAAAAAAGAUCAUUAUUUACUACGAAAAGAUGAUAAAUACCAUACAGAUCCAAUAUACAAAAAAUGGGACCAUGGUUCCGGAUGCGUGCGCAUAUACGCAGAUGCGACCUCCCUUAGCCGGAUCCGGUCCUGAAUUAAAAAAAAAAACAGGCCAAAAAAAUAAAAUUUAAGACCGAAAAAAUAUUUUAAGGCCAAAAAUUUAUUUUUAUGCCAAAAAUUUAUACAUUAGUCCAUGAAAAGAGCUAUAUUAUUUUUAAUAUAAGCUCCUUCCACU